Molecule: ribosomal RNA, 621 nt
Filed under: Salmonella enterica
Lineage: Bacteria; Pseudomonadati; Pseudomonadota; Gammaproteobacteria; Enterobacterales; Enterobacteriaceae
Description: partial 23S ribosomal RNA
Rfam family: Bacterial large subunit ribosomal RNA
Source: RNAcentral
CCCAGACAGCCAGGAUGUUGGCUUAGAAGCAGCCAUCAUUUAAAGAAAGCGUAAUAGCUCACUGGUCGAGUCGGCCUGCGCGGAAGAUGUAACGGGGCUAAACCAUGCACCGAAGCUGCGGCAGCGACACUGAUGUGUUGUUGGGUAGGGGAGCGUUCUGUAAGCCGUUGAAGGUGGCCUGUGAGGGUUGCUGGAGGUAUCAGAAGUGCGAAUGCUGACAUAAGUAACGAUAAAGCGGGUGAAAAGCCCGCUCGCCGGAAGACCAAGGGUUCCUGUCCAACGUUAAUCGGGGCAGGGUGAGUCGACCCCUAAGGCGAGGCCGAAAGGCGUAGUCGAUGGGAAACAGGUUAAUAUUCCUGUACUUGGUGUUACUGCGAAGGGGGGACGGAGAAGGCUAUGUUGGCCGGGCGACGGUUGUCCCGGUUUAAGCGUGCAGGUGUGUGUUCCAGGUAAAUCCGGUUCACUUUAACACUGAGGCGUGACGACGAGGCACUACGGUGCUGAAGCAACAAAUGCCCUGCUUCCAGGAAAAGCCUCUAAGCCUCAGGUAACAUCAAAUCGUACCCCAAACCGACACAGGUGGUCAGGUAGAGAAUACCAAGGCGCUUGAGAGAACUCGGG